CACAAGUAGAAACACAAUUAUGUGUUGAGGAUUCAUACAAAGGCAAUCAAUGUGAGUUUAACCAUGAAAAUGACAAUCAGGCAAAUCCAAACUGUGGAUCAUUCUGCAUGGAAUCAACCCAGACUCUUUCAAUAUAUUAAUGUAAUGGAAAUCAGAAAAAAAAGGUGAGACAAUUUCUCUUGAUGUGUGUGUGUGUAUGUGUGUGUGUGUGUGUGUGUGUAUAUAUAUAUAUAUAUAUAUAUAUAUAUAUAUAUAUAUAUAUAUAUGACCUAUAGGUAUAAAAACAAAAUGCAAUGAAUGAGCACUGAUUUGAUUCUCUGUUUUUAAAAAUAUUAUAAAAAUGUUAUAAAAAUGCUUCUAAGACAUCUGGGGACUUCUGAAUACAGACUGUGUAUUACAUAAUAUUCUUAUGUCAAUAGUAAAUUUCCUUAUCUUCUGUCUAACUUAUCUCACUUAGCAUAGUGUUUUUAAGAUUCAUCUAUAUUGUAGCAUAGGUUAAUACUUCCUUUUGUUGUCUAAUUAUAUAUGUAUUUUUCAAAUUAUAUUCUUAUAUACACAUGCAGAAGAACAUUCAGUGUUCUUAUUUUUAUUUUAAGGGAGCAUAGGAAACAGGAAAUCACUCAAGAGAUUUAAAAAAAUAAAAUUCCUAGCUUCCAAAGGCACAUAUGUUUGGCAAAUGAUAAAAUACCAAGUCCAUUAAAAUAGACUCUAAAGAGCUUCAGAUGAUUGACAAUGUACUUCAGGAAUGGAAAACUUGUUUCAGUCCAGUAAUAGAUAUGUUCUCUGCUACUAGAAUUGUAACAAUUCGAUGUGUCUGUAACCAUUUUGCAGGCUAGAGAGCUAGGAAAUCAUGAAGAGCCUCCUAUGCAAAGGGGAAAUUUAUGAAUGGUCCCGUCUAUUCUCUAAAGCAAGCCUGUAUGACAUAUGAAAUAAUAUUUUAUGAUGCCACAAAGCAGUGCUUUUGAAUCUGAGGCCACAUAGAUUUUAGAAAGCACCAGUGAGCAUUCUUUAUACCGAAUGGCUUGCCUGCCUGGUAAAAGACUGUGAUCUCAAAUAAACCUUAGUGUUUCCUUAAAUGCAAUUUCCUAGAAUGAGAUUACACUCCUUAUAUUGCUUCUGAUUUCUUUGGGGAAAUAAGCAAGCCAGGGGAAAAGAUAUCUUACCACAUUCUCUUAGACCACAGGAAAGUAAAUGAGAAUUUUUUUUUUUUUUUUUUUUUCUGAGCAGAGAUUUUUUUUGGCUGGCAUGCAUAUGAAUGUACUGGUUAAAAAAUACUGAAAAUAAAAUAAGUUUCUUUUUGUAAAAUGUUUAUUUAUAAAAAUAAAAAUAAGUUUGUUUUAUGUUUGGUAAUGUUGUUCAGUAUAUUUUGUAUUUUACUUGUGAUAAUUGGGCUCUUAUAAAGAUGCACUUCUCCAGGUUAUUAAUUCUCUGUGUUUAUGAUUUGCCAAUUUGGAGCGAAACUGUAAAGACAUAACACCCUAAUUUAAAAAAAAAAUCAGGUAUUAAUUUUGUUUAGUUUUUCUUAAUGACUUGAAAUUGCACAGAUUUAUAAAUAAAGCAUCACAUAUAAUCUGUUCCUUAUGUUGUAUACUUAGUUUUCAGAGGAAAUAAGCUAGUGAUGGAUGUAAAAAUAAUUAAAAUGUUUUAUAUAUCUGUCCUACACAAAAUAUGUUUAAAUAUUUGUGAGUAUUUUAUUUUACGGUUAUUAUUAUUAUGAAGAUUAAACUUAGUGGCACUUUACCUCUGAGUUACAUCUCCAGUCCUUUUAAAAACUUUUUGAUGUUUAUUUUAAGACAGGGUUUCACUAAGUGGCUGAGACUGAUCUUGAACUUGAAAUCCUCCUGCCUCUGUUCUCUGCAUUGCUGGGAUUACAGUUGUAUGCCACCAUUCCUGGCUAUGAGUAUUUUCUUUUAAAGCAUGAUGAUAAGAAGCUUGGGAUAACUUGAUAACAUGUGCAAGAGAUUUCUCCAUAUGUGAACAUGACACAGACUGUCACCGUCAGAAAAACACCAGGAAGGAGAAAGGAAGGGUGAGAAGUCUGGGCACCACAGUAAAAGCUCUCUUUACUAAAAAUCAGAGAAGCACAGUGUCAACUAGAGCAUUAGGAGUUCAUUAUCUGUUUAUAUCUUGGCUCACAGGAGUGGGAAGUCCAGCGUGGUCCUGAGGGGAGCUGGACUGGGUCUGGGGGCAGUGUGUGUCUAUCCUGUCCUCUCCUCCAGUCUGGGGGCUCUUUUGCUCUGUUCUUGCGUUAGGCUUGUAUGGCUUCCUUUACUUGAUGGGAAGGACAGGGAGGGUUGUAGUGAGUGUGCAUCAUAUACCAAUAUCCUUCAAAGUUGCAACCCCAAAGAACAGCAUUCAUUCCUGGCACUUUUUUUUUUUUUUUUUUUUUUUUAGAGAGAGUGAGAGAGAUAGAGGUAGAGAGAGAGAGAAUUUUUUUUUUAAUAUUUAUUUUUUUUAGUAUUUGGCGGACACAACAUCUUUGUUUGUAUGUGGUGCUGAGGAUCCAACCCGGGCCGCACGCAUGCCAGGUGAGCGCGCUACCGCUUGAGCCACAUCCCCAGCCCCCAUUCCUGGCACUUUUAACCUCAAAGGUCGAAGCCAAUUAUUACUAGUCCUGUGUGGGUCAUUUGUCCCUCCCUAAACUCCACCAAGAGAAUGGGUACAGAUGGCAGCCAGAUGCAGAGCCCCCGUCCACCUGUGUUUUCUGAGUGGGUGGAUGUGGGGUAUUGAAGCAGGCCCUUUCCAAAUAGUAGUAGGCUGCUCACAGGCAAAAGAGUUUAUCUCUAAAAGAUGGAAAUGAGGGAGAUUGGGGACCAACACCACAGACACCCACCAGAACUGCCUUUCUGCAAGUUUGUUCCAAUCUAUAUGGAGGAUGGGAGUUUCAUUCAUCCAUUAGAGUUUCACAGAGUAAUAUAUAUAUGUUUUAUACUAAGGAUGAUCCUUACUGGUGCUCCAUAUUUCAAAACUCACGCCAAUCAAUCCUUUUGUACUGACAGGUGCAAGAAGUCGUCUGGCAGGUGUGAUGUGUUGAGCCUCAGGUGUGAGCAGGAAGGAUUUGUGAGUUUGCUUUAUAGGGGAAGAAGCAACAUCAUGUUGCUUGAAAUCAUUGGUAGGAGGUGUUUCAUAUUUUUAAGAGAGGAAAUGUAUUGAUCAAAUAUUCACGGUGAUACAUCACAAUGGUUGAGGUUGGAAGCAUUUCUCUGGUUCUUAUUCUCUGGGUGCUUUUAAGCCAAGAAUUCUCCUUCCAAUCACCUUUGACUCUUUCUAGGUCAGGCCUUCCACUGUUUCCUUGCCCACUCCCCAGCAGGAUUGGGGAACCAUAAUUAUAAUCCAAGAGAUUAAUGAAAAUACCUCCUAAGCAUCUGUCUGGCAUAUUAUUGCUUCUUUUUAGGGAACUGCCUAAUAUUCCCAAUAGCCAUGAUUGUCUGGAGCUCUGCUCACAAUGGUCAAAGACUAGGAAAGAUCCACUUAUAUCUUAUUCCUAAAUUUGAAAUAUGAAGAAUUGGGGAGUCCUGCUCUUCACUGAGUUCCCAGUGGUGUGAAGUGUCUAUUUCCUUACUUCUGGUUCUGUUCCAUUUGGACAUGGCGAUAAAUAAACAUUUUGUAAUUUCAAAAAUCCAUAUUCCCACUAAAUUUAUAGACAAAUACAUUUAAAUAUGAGAUAUAUGAGACUCAAAAAUAAUUUCCUAUGUUGGUGCUGGGUGGAAUUGAAUACUGGAAUUGAGAGUGAUUUCACUUUUAUAAGAAUCAUUUCAUAGAUGUUUUUAAGUGAAAAAAAUCAACAUUACCUAAUUUUACUGUUAAAAUAUUAUAGUCAUUGAUUUUGAACUGGUAAUUAUCUUGUAGUUUUUUUAUUUGUCUCAGACAUUUCAAAAGAAAAAUAACAUUUUUGAGAAAAAUACUUGAAAAAUAAAUUCUUGUCUUUUCAUAUAUUUACUAGGACAUAACAUUUUGAUGAGAAAUUAAUUGUUUCUAUACUUUGAAUAUAAAUGCUUUCUCUGUAUUUUUAUGGGUGAAGUAUAAUUAUACAUAAUGGUGGGAUUUGUUGACAUAUAUUUGUCUGUGCACCUGAAAUGCCAAUAAAAUUUGGCCAGUACCAUUCCCCAAUUCCUCCCCUUUCCUCCCACUCCUUCCUCCCUCAUCUCUUUCCUAUACUCUAAAGUUCUCUCUGCAAAUUUUGUGUGAUCUCCCCCUGCCAUGUCUUUCUUCUCUUUUUCCUCUCUAGUUUCCACAUAUGAGAUAAAACAUAACCCUUCAUUUUGGCUUAUUUCUCUUAACAUAAUGCUCCCAAGGCCCACCCAUUUUAUUGCAAAUAACAUAAUUUGAUUUUUAUUUAUGAUGGAAUAAAACUUCCAUGUGCAUUUACACCACAUUUUCUUUAUCAAUUCAUUUAUUGAUGGACACCUAGUCUGGUCCAUAGUUUGGCUGUUUUGAAUUGUGCUGAUCUAAACAUGGGUAUGCAUAUAUCACUAUAGUAUACUGACUUUAAUUCUUUAGGAUAAAUACCAAGGAUGGUGUAGCUGGGUCAUGUGGUAGUUCCAUUCCUAGAUUUUUGGAACCUCCACACUUAUUUAUAUAGUGGUUGAACUAAUUUACAAUCCUGCCAACAGUGUAAAAGUGUUCCUUUUUCUACACAUUCUCUUCAGCAUUUAUUAUUGUUUGUAAGCUUAAUAGCUAUAUUCUAACUGGAGUGAGAUUAAAUCUCAGUGUAGUUUUAAUUUGCAUUUCUCUAAUUGCUAAUGAUGUUGAACAUUUUUUUUUUGUAUAUUAGUUGACCAUUUGUAUUUCUUCUAUUAAGAAUAGAAGUAUCUGUUUAGUUCAUUUGCCCAAUUAACAAAUGGGCAAAAUUAACAAAAUUUAACAAAUGGGCAAAUGAACUAAACAGAUACUUCUUAAUUCUUAAUUAUUAUUAUAAUACCUAUUAAUAUUAAUUGACUAUUAUUUGGUGUUAGGAUUUUUGAGUUUUUAUAUAUUCUGGAUAUUAAUCCUCUGUCAGAAGAGUAGCUAGCAAAGAUUUUCUCCCAUUAUUUGUGUGUGUUGUAUUCUGUUCUGUUGGUCUAUGUGUCUAUUUUUAUGCCUGUACCAUACAGUUUUUUUUUUUACUAUAUCUCUGUGUAUAAUUUGAAAUAUGGUAUUUUGGUGCCACUAGCAUUACUUUUUAAAUUUUUUUUUAUUUUUGUUUUAUUUUAGAAUUGCUUUGGCUUUUCUGACUCUUUUAUUUUGAAAUAAAUUUCAGGACCCUUUUUUUUUCUAGUUUUGUGAAGAAUGUCAUUGGUAUUUUGACGGGGAUUGCACUGAAUUUUUAUAUUGCUUUUGGUAGUAUGGCCUUUUAACAAUUUAAUUUUGCCUAUCCAUGAACAUGAGAGGUCUUCUCAUCUUCUUGUUUCUUCUUCAGUUUCUUCCUUCAGUGUUCUAUAAUUCUAUAGAGGUCUUUCACCUCCUGGGUUAGAUUAAUUCCUAGGUAUUUUCUUUUUCAGACUAUUGUUAAUGGGAUUAUUUUCCUGAUUUCUUUCUCAGUAGAUUUAUUAUUGGUAUAUAAGGAAAGCUAUUGCUUUUUGAAUGUUGUGUUGAAACCUGAUACUUUGAUGAAUUUGUACAUUAGUUCUAGCAGUCUUCUGGUGGAACUUUUUGAAUGUUCCAAGAAUAGGCUCAUAUCAUCUGCAAACAGUUAUAAUUUGUCUUCUUCUUUUCCUGUUUUUAUCCCUUUUAUUUUCUACUCUUGCCUAAUUAUUCUGGCUAUAAUUUCUAGUACUAUAUUGAAUAGGGGUGGUAAGAACAGACAUCCUUGUCUUUUUCUAGAUUUCAAGGAAAUACUCUCAGUUUUUCCCUAUUCACUAUGAUGUUCGCUUUGAAUUUGUCAUAUACAGCCUUUGUAAUAUUGAAAUAAUUUCUUUGUAUCACUAGUUUCUUCAUUGUUUUUAUGACAAAUGAGUGCUGAAUUUUGUCGAAGGCUCUCUCUGUUUCUAUUGAGAAGAUUAUAUGAUUUUUUCCUUAAUUCUGUUUAACUGGUGAAUUAUACUUAUUGAUUUGCAUUGUUAAACUAUCCUUGCAACUAUGGAAUAAAUCAACUUGGUUGUGAUGUGCAAGCUUCUUAACAUGUUGUUGAAUAUGCUUUGCUAGAUUUUAUUAAAAUUUUUUUGCAUCUAAGUUCAUCAGGGAUAUUUGUCUGUAGUUUUCUUUUCUUGAUGUGUCCUAUCUGGUUUGAGUGAGUGUGAUACAGGUUUCAUGGAGUGAAUUUGAAAGUGUUCCAUCACUAUCUAUUUCAUGGAAUAAUUUGAUGAACAUUGGAAUUAGUUCUUCUUUGAAGUUCUAGUAGAAUUCAUCUGAUCCUGAGCUUUUCUUUGUUAUAAGGCUGUGUAUUACUGUUUCUAUCUCACUGCUGGUUUUUGGCCUGUUUGGGUUGUCCAGGUCCUCUUGAUUCAAUUCUCAUAUGUGUGGAGAAAUGUAUAAAUUUCCUCUAGUUCAAGUGUUCAAAGUAUAAGUUUUCAAAAUAGUCCCUAAUGAUCCUGGACUUCUGUGUUGUCUGUGGUAAUUUCUCCUUUUUCAUCUCUAAUUUUAUUAUCUUGGGUCUUCUCUCUUUUUAUUUUGGUUAGUUUGGCUACUGGUUAAUUAAUAUUGUUUAUUUUUUCAAAGAACCAACUCUUUAUUUCUCUGAUUCUUCCUAUUUUUUUAAAUCUCUAUUUCAGUGAUUUUAUCCCUGAUCUUAAUUAAUUCCCUCCUUCUAUUGUUUUUUUGGAAUUGGUUUGUUCUUGUUCUCCAAGGGCCUUUAAACACAUUAUUAGGUUGUUUAUCUGGAAUGAUUCCUGAUUUCUUAUGUAGGCACUCAUAGCUAUAACUUUCCUCCUAGUAUCACCUUUAUAAUGUCCCAGAGGUUCUGGUGUAGUAUUUCACUAUUCUCAUUUUAUUCUAAAAAAUUUUAAAUUUCUCCACCUUUUCUUUUACCACUAAUAAUCCUUAAAAAGUAAAUUCUUUAAUCUCCACAUGUUUAUAUAGUUUCUGUAGGGUUUUAAAUGUUGAUUUCUAAUUUAAUUCCAUUAUCUUGAUUAGAUGCAAGGAAUUGUAUCUUUUUUUUUUAUAUUUGCUAAGAGAUGCUUUGUAGCCUAAAAUACAGUCUAUUUUGGAAAAAAUUCCAUAAACCACUGAGAAGAAAGUGAAUUUAGCUGUUAUUGAAUUAAGUAUUCUAUAGAUGUCUCUUAAGUCCAUUUGAUAUAUUAUAUUUCAUAUGUCUGAAGAGUUUUUACUGAGUUUAUAUCUGAAUGAUCUGAUGGUGAGACAGAUGUGUUAAAAACACCCAGUAUUAUUAUACUGGAGUCUAUCUGAGUCUUUAAGUUGAGUAAUUUUUUUUAAUGCAAUUAGGUGCACCAACAUUUGGGGCAUAAACAUUUACUUUUAUUCUUUUUGUUAGAUUGUUCCCCUUUCCAGUAUGAAGUAACUAUCUUUGUAUCUUCUGAUUAAUUUUGGGUUGAAGUCUGCUUUGUCAGAUAUGAAAGUAGCUACUCCUGCUUAUUUUGGAACUCCAUUUGCAUAUAUAACUCUAUUUCCAUCCUUUCACUUUGAGCUUCUGUGUUUUUGCAUGUAAGGUGAGUCUCUUGCAAACAGCAUAUAGUUGGGUCUUUUUUUUUUUUUAAAAAAUCCAUCCUGCUGGCUCAUUUUUUCUUUUCCUUUCUUUUUCUUUCUUUCUUUCUUUUUUUUUUGUGUGUGUGUGGUGCUGGGGAUUGAACCCAGGGCCUUGUGCAUGUGGGGCAAGCACUCUACCAACUGAGCUAUAUCCCAAGCCUAUGUAUUUUAAUUGGAGAAUUGAGACUAUUUAUAUCCAAUAUUGUUAUAGAGAGAUGUUUAUUAAUUUCUGCCAUUUUGAUUAAUUUGUAAUGUUUAAUUUGGUCCUUUGUCUCAUUUGGUUAGCUACUCUUCAAAUGACAUUUGCCCACUUUUGAGCCCUGAAUUUGUUUUGAUUUCUUCUGUGUGUAGUAUUUCUUUAAGUAUUUUCUGUAGUGCCAACUUAAUAGUCAUGAAUUCUUUUGGUUUCUGCUUAUCUUGGAAGGUCUUUAUACUUCUUCAAUUCUGAGUAAUAAUUUUUCUAGACAUAGCAAUCUUGGAUGACAGUUAUUCUUUCAGGUUUAGAAUACAUUAUUCAAAGUCCUCUUGAAUUUUAGAGUUUGUGCUAAAAAAUCAGAAGUAAUCAUGAUUGGCAUGACUCUAUAUGUGAUCUAACAUUUUUUUUCCUCUUAAGACUAUUGAAAGUUUGUCCUGUUCUUUAUGUUAGGUCAUUUUAUUUUAUUUUUACUAGGGACUGAAACCAGGGGUGCUUUACCAUUGAGUUACAUUCCCAGCCCCUUUCUUUUAAAAUAAAAUUUUAACUUUAGAUAGGCUCUUGCUAAGAUACAUAUGGCCUUGUUAAGUUGCUGAGGCUGGCUUUAAACUAGUGACCCUCCUGCCUCAGACUCCUGAGUCACUGGAACUACAAGUACAUGCCACCUGUCAAGCUAUUUGUUAGGCGUUUUAAGUGUAAUGUGUUAGGAGAGGUUCUUUUUGAUCUUCACUAUUUGGGGUUCUGAAUCCUCCCUGUAUUUGGCUGCAUAUCUUACUUAAAGGUUUGGAACAUCUUCUUUUAUUAUUUCCUUGAAGCAGUCAUCCAUUCCCCUAGUCUGCUUCUCAUAACCCUCUUUGACUCCAGUGAUUCUUAAAUUUGGUCUCUUAAUGUUGUCACAAAGGUCUUGCAUAUUCUGAUCAGGGCACCUUUUUUUUUUUCUUCUUUUCUUUAGUACUGUCUGAAUGUCCAAGACUGGGCUCUUUAUCUUCCAGCUCUGAGAUUCUGUCUUCAGAAUGAUCUACUCUGAGUCUUUAACCUGAACAUUUAAUUUGAUUUAUUGGGUUUUUCAUUUUCCUGUUUGGUUCUUUUUCAAUAACUCUCUUUAUUGAACUUAUCAUUCAUAUACUGUCCUGAUUUCCUCAGUUCAUACAGUUUUUCUGCAUCUUUUUAAACUCAUUGAUCAGUUUUAUAAUCACUCUUUUGAAUUCAUUAUCUGGUAUUUAAUUCAUUUCAAUAUUUUUGGUAUCCCUUGAUGGUGAAUUAUGAACUUGAAUUGCUAUCUACUUUUUCAUAUUUCUUAUAUUUUGGGGUUGGGUUUUAUGCAUCUAUUUGGAUAAUUUUUUUCCCACUCUCGUGUGUGGGUCUUCUCUUGUGAAAUUGUUCUGGGAUAUCAGAUUAUUGUAAAUUUGUUAAUAUAUUUUCAAAUGGGUUUUGUAUUAUAAUUUCCCUGCUAGUCCUUUGGUGAUGAUCAGUAUAAUUUGAUAUAGUAUAUAUAUAUAUUGUGUCAGAGGUUGAGGAUUUUACUUUCCCUAUAGGUCUCAAGAAUGGGAUUCUUCUUGUAGAUUUGACAGUUGUAUUGUAUACAGCAGGAUAUGUGGGGUACACCCUCUGUGAUUACUCUUCUUCACUUAACAACUCUUUAUAUUAUAAAGGGGCAUGGAAGUGAUCUAGAUUGAGACCCCUCAAAAGUCCAUAGUCUUUGUGUCAAUUCUCUCUGCUUUUGCUGUAGGAGUGGAGGUCCAUGUGUGUACCUGAGGGCACACUCUAACUGUUCUUACUUGGAACAGCCAUUCAGGGUGGACAUAUUUCUGCAAAUGUGCUUCUGGAAGCCAGUCAUAGGGUCUGUACUUGAGUGGCAGUUUCUCCCAAUGAUAUUAAUUCAUUGAGCUUCUGAAAGUCUCCAAUCCUGGAAUUCCAUGGUGCCCCAAAUUGCUAUAUAAAUCAAUAAACUUACUCUCUUUAGAGACUCUGACCUGCCAGAAUGACUGUGAUAGGCAAUAAAUGCAUCUCUGCGCCUUUAUUUCAGGUGUUGUGUGGUAGCCUCAUCACCUGUGACCAGGGGAGGGCUGUCCCUGCCUCCACUUAUUUCAACGUCUGCUGCUUGCUUCCCCAGGAAACACGAGCUCCAGAUCAUGUGGCUGCUCAGGACAAACUCUAGGACUGAAACAAGAAGGCACUUAAUGUUUGCUGAUGUGAGGCUGAUGUGUUAUGGAUGUAACCAUGAGCAAUGGAGACCCAGCCCUCCUCCUCAGAAGGCCUAUGUCUGACCUAAGUGGACAGAUGACCUUCAGAGUGUGGCCAUGCUAUCUGAGUGCUCAGCAGGGACCCUGAAAAAAACCACAUGGAUCCUGGUGGGAGGCUCUCCACAGGAAAUGGUGUUAAGGUUGGAACCUGAAAGUUAUGCAGAAUGCUGCCAGGCAAAGGGGACCUGGGAUCCCAAGAGAAUGGUCUGGAUGGAGGGUGACAUAGGAUGAUUUUAUGACAUCCCAGUGAAUGUCACCUCUUAAGUCAUGCCUUUGUGUGGGCCCCUCCCUCACAGAACAAGAGCUGGUCUGUAUGGCCAACAGAAUGGCAGAAAUCAUGCUGAAUCAGCUCUGGGAGGAGAGGGUGAGAAGAGUGGCACCCACAGGCUAUGCGAGAGUGCUCGCUCUUCUUCCUUUCCUCCUCUCUCUGCGAUUCUCUGUCUCCCUCUCUGUGUCUUGUGGACACAGAUGUCCACCUCUGUCUCAGUCUCUUUCUCUCUCUUCCUCACUUUUUCAUCUCUCAUUCUGUUGCAAUGUCUGUCUCACUGCCUCUCUCUCUCUCUCUGCCUCCCUCCCUGUUCCUCCUCACCUCUUCUCCUCCUCACCAUUUGCUCUGGGGAGAGCUCUCUGCUCUGCUCAGCAUCUUAUGGAGAAGCUGGAGUGGAUCCCCCUGCUUCUCCUCUUUCACUCUCUAGGGCUUGAUUCUUGCCUCUUUCUCCCAGGGCCAUAAGUUUAUGACUUGAUCUACAGCGGAUUGCAGUUCCCAAGGGAUACCCUAAGGCACUGGCUGUGCAAGCUGGAACUGGAGGGAACACCGUGGGAUAGAAGUCUGGACUUAGGAGUCCUUAGCCUAUGGACCAUGCUGGUGUGUACAGAAGGAUGAGGCAGAACAAGACACACGUUUCCCUGAGCAGUGCCCUCUGCCCUGCAUGGCCUGAACUUGGGCAUAGGAGUCUGGUGAGGGUUUUGACUGAAUUCCUUCCUCAGGAGGGCUGUCAGGCUGGAAGCUUGGUGUCAAAUAAGCAGGAAAAUCUCCAUAAAAAUAAAAUGCUAAUGAUCUGCCACAAAGUACUAAGGGGAAGGUGAGGGAAUAGCAGUGUAUUCUAGGAUGACUGCAGGGGAGGGAAAAUAACAUCUCCAGAAGAAUUUCCUUUCUUCUCCCACUGAUGAGCCUGUUGCCAGAUGAGAAGGGAGCAGGUGGGGUGAAGCUCACAUCAAAGUGCCACAGAGAAGGCUCAGGAGGGACAUGAAUAGAGAAAGGACAAGUGGAACAAGAGGCCAACAAAUCUAUAAAAAGAAAAGAGGGGUGCCUGGUGAGGGAGCCCAGAGGGAGUGUUCUGUUGGAUUCUGCUGACACUGGGUGUGUGGGGGUCUGAGAGCCAGGAGAGACGGGGUCUGCAAAGUGCACUAGUGUCCCUGAUUCAAUGACAGUCUGUCCUGUACCAAAGGCAUCAAGGGCCCUACAACUUGCACAGAAAACCAAACAAAACCAAAGCCAAGAAAAAACAAGAAGAAAGAAUAAAGGUAGGAAAGGGAGGGAGGGAGGAGGAGGGAAGCACAGAACAACACCCUCCCUCAGACCCUUCUACCUUCUCUACUGCUCUUCAACCUCUCAGAACAGUGACCUCCUCACCCAGAGGGAGCCACACGUUUGAAUCCAAUUGCUGAUUGUUGGAAAUGAUCACACAAGAAUCUGGGAAUGGAAGGCUGGGAGGAGAGCACUCAGGGUGUGAUGAACAAAUACACAGAAUGAUGGGGCUCAUCGAGGAAUUUCCUAUGUUGGGUCCCUGUUAUCUGUAGAAUUACAGAAAUGGAAGAGUUUAUUCUGCUCAGGAUCUUCCUGUGCAUAGAAAAACUGAACUCCUGUUUAGCCAACCAUCUGUCUUUCUGGUAUAAAGGAAUUUAUCUUUGAAACUGCAGACCAGCUUCACAGGAGGGGACAGGAGGCUGUGUACUUGAGAGCGAGACUGCCUACAGACUAGGAGGAAGAGCAACACCUCGGCCACAGUGUCCAGGGACCUGAGCUUUCCAUGGAUAGUUUGCAUUUCCCCAUAGUGAACGGGAUAGGAGAAAUCAAAGUCAAGAUUGAAGCAUGGAGACAAAUGAAGGUGUCUGGGGAGGCUGUUCAUGAUGUCACAGGGUCUAGUGACCUGCUUCCUCUCUCAUAUUUCAAUUCCAUUUAAAAAGUAAGUUUUAUUUUAUCACUUUCCUGUAGAAACUUAUAAUCAUGUGCACAACGUGCUUCCUAUUUAUUUGAUUUUUAGGCAUAGUAUAAGGCCCCUGCAAUAAUGAAUGACAACAUGAAGAUUUUGUUGGGGUGAUAAUUUUAAUUGUUGCUACUCAUUUCACUAACUACUGUGACAAGACUCAUUUUUAAGGGGAGGUGAACAUAGUGCAAAUUGAAUGUUAGACACCAGGAAGGAAUGGAAGAAGUGGACAUUUAGAUAGUGGCUGAGUUUUCCAACUCUAGGGGUUGAAAUGUCAUAUCCAGGAAGGAUGGGGACAGAAGCCAAGAGAACGGAGGCAGGGUGGAGUGGAGCCAGUCUCCUUGCUGUCUGCAGGUGGACUGGGGUGGAACUUGGCCACAUCCAGAGGAAUAAGUGGGAUUCCAGAAUGAUAGCCCCUGAGGUGAUGCUUUGUGAAACAACAGACAUCAUUCACAUAGUGGAUACCUAGUGGUCGCCAUUACCAGCCCUGACCCAGGGGGGCUCAUUGACCCUCACAGCCUUAUAAGGUAGGUAUUAUUCAUCUGCCUAUCUUACAGAUGAGAAAAUGGAGGCAGGGAAAGGUUAGUCCCUGGUGUCUCAGGUCGCAUAUAUGGUAGGUGGUAGAGGCAGAUUUUGUUGGGUACUCAAGUCAUCCAUAGUUUUAACUACAUGUGGUCCUUAGACUUAAAAGCUCAGAUGUUUUCUUGCCUUAAGUGGUAGACUCUUCUAUUUCAAUUUCCUCAUCUGCAAAAUGAGGAUGGUAGAGCUUGAAUUCAUGUGGUAGUGAAAGGAUAGAAAUGAGCUACUUCGCUCCUUUAUGGGGAUUGUCAGGAAGCCUGACACAUGGCAAGUGCUAGACAGAUCACAGAUGUGUACCCAUGGGGGCUGAUGUAAGACAGCUUCUGGCAGGCUCUGCUUGUCGGGACGUCACGGUGACAACAGGUAGGCUCACGAAGGUACCUGGCAUGACGGGCCAGCCAUUUGCCUAAGUACAUCCAGCUACGUUCACCCAGCUCAAGGAAUGUUGGAGUACCUUGAUGGAGCUUUGGGUACUUGAGUAGAGUCUGUUCCAUGUUUCAAAGCUGGUUAUUGACCCUCUCUGUGCCUCAGUUUUCUCAUGUAUGAAUGGGAGAAAGGAAUUCAUGCUUCCCAGAGUUCUUGGAAAGAGAAAAAGAGAUAAUAUGUGUAAAACAGACAUAAAAGAAACUCAACUGUUCAUUAGCUUUGUCUUCCUUAUUGAGUUAUUGUUUAGGCUGAUGUCCAGAGGUGGAAUGGAUCUCACUGAGGCAGGGAGUGUCCAUAGUCCUGGGCUUCACAGGGCCAAGUCUGACUUGAAUGACCACAAUCUGGCUGAAUUAUAUGUGGAGGGAGAUGUCCUCGGAAAGGCUCUCUGUGGCCCUUUUAGUGGUCAUGAUGUGUGGGCUAUGACAACUAUCAAUGCUCAUUUAGAGGAAUGGGUAUUAAAAAAAAAACUCCAAAUGUCCUUUUCCUGAACCCACCACAUCCUGCAGUUGAGCAGUGGCACCGCACACUUGGUUUGCUCUCAACACCUGUUCUGGACACCCGGAGCCUUCUGUUAACUCUCUACUGCUCAAUGGAAAUCCUGAUAAUGGAGUCAUGAGAAAACACUCACAAGGCUUCUUUCCCAUCUGGUGACCCCAGAGCUAAACACCAUAGGAAUUAGAAUCCCUAAUUUGCGUGAAGAAGAAUGACUAGAGGACCCAUCCUCUUGGGCUCCAGUGGCCUCAGGCGACUCUCAAUGGAAGACAACCCGGGGCCCACUCCUCCUGAAAUGGGGGUUGUGCAAACUCACAUCCACAGGUCCUCAUUCCAUGAGCACCUUCUGAUUCAAAGUCCAUCAAUUAAAACAAAUCCCUUCAUUUUAGACAGAAGUGCCAUAAUACAGGCACCAUCCAGGGGGCUUGUAUUCUGACAUUACAAGAAGCUGUGAAAUUACACAGCAAUAAAUAAUAAAGUCCUAGGCUUAGAAUCUCUAAUCAUCAUUCCCAAAUUGAUUUUAAAAAUAAUGAGGGGUAUUGUUUAUAGAAUGAUUAGGGAAAACUUAAAAUUCAUUAAAUGUCUCUCUAAGUCUUUUAUUUUCUUCAAUGGAAUUUUCAAGUACUUGGAUAUGUUCUCUGUUAUCAAAACAUGUAGAUGGAAGGAAUAUAUUUAAGCUAAAUACAUUGCUUUGUCCUGCAUCCUCGUGGGCACUUCACAGCAUCCAUGGCUCAUGUCCUCGUGUAGUUAUGAACCUUAGUGUGGGUAGCUGACAAAAGCCAGUUGUCCUACCGUUUUCAUCUACUGAAAUUCAGAAUCAACAUCACUAACAUUUAUUUUGUGCAUGGAGGUUCAACUCUAGUAUUUUGAGUCCCCGGAUGAUCUGAGAAAUUUAGUGGACAGAAGAUGUAUCAAUUGUUAAUUUCUUGAAUGACAACCCUGUCUCUAAACACUUUGCCUCUUUCUGUCUUUAAAGAGCAUCCAGCUGAUAUUUCUUCCAUUAAACAAGAAGAGUAUAUGCAGGAUUAUUAACCUUAGUUACUUACAUAUAACUUUAUGGACAAUAAUAAGGCAAAACUACCAGUGAUAUGGUACCCCUUGUGUCCCAGAGGAUUGGAUUAUAUUUUCCUUUUUUGGUACUGGGAAUUGAACCUAGGGGGUGUUUAACCCCUGAGCCACAUCCCCAGCACUUUUUUUUUUUAUUGUGAGACAGGGACUCUCUGAGUUGCUUAGGGCCUCCCUAAAUUGUUGAGGCUGGCUUUGAAUUCCAAAUCCUCUUGCCUCAACCUCCUGAGCUGCUGGGAUUAGAGGCAUGCACCACCACGCCCAGCAGCAGACUGUUUUUAAAUCAGUGGGUUGGAGUCACCGUAACAAUAGUACCCCAUGGCCCAUGGAGUCCAUGGCUGGAGGUCCAUAUUCCCCCUGUCUGUUUCCACCUGUUGGAUUGAUUAUUGAAAAGUAGUUUGGCCUCAAAUCUGUGCCUUCUGUAUUUGUUAGUGAAAAUUGGCAAGUUAACCGAGUAUUAGGUACACCCAUGAAAUGCAAGAUCAAAAAGAAAUGCUGAGAUGUGCUGUUUCUAUGAAGUUAAUUAAAUGCUUUGGAAAGAAUAAAAGAAUGAGUAACAAAAACACGUGGUUGAACCAGAUGAAAGUGAGGCAGCUGCAGAUGACUGAGAGACUGAAACACAUUGGAUAGAUUAUUAAGUGUCUUUAGAGAUCAUUUAAGCUCUUGACCUGUUUGUUUUUUUUUAACUUGUUCUAAUUAGUUAUACAUGACAGCAGAAUGCAUUUCGAUUCACUGUACACAAAUGGAGCACAACUUUUCAUUUAUCUGGUUGCAUGCAAUGUAGAAUCACACCAUUCAUGCAAGCAUACAUGGUGUACCAGCAGGGAUUUUGGCAGGCAGGGUGUGGAUUCAGGAAGGAGGAGGACCUGUAUGGGCUGAGCUCACAGGAAAGGCCUGGUCUUUCAUGAAAGGAUUGGAACAACUCACAUGUUUUAAAACUUAGACAAGUAGAGAAAAAAUUUUUUUAAAAAAAACACAGUUUGGGGUUUAUAGCAUGAUCAAGCAGUAAUUAACAUAUCUCAGGUACCUUCCCACCCCCUCUCUGGUCUCCCUGACUAUCCACACCCCCACCUCCGCCCCUGAGUGGCACUUUUAUUACCAUGAAUGAACCCACAUCCCUGACACAUCCUGAUCACCCAGAGCCCAGAGUUUGCAUUGGAGUUCAGCGUUUACUUGUUACUUGUCGGGGAACCUAAUCUACCUUGAACAUUCUGGACAUGAAGAUUGAAAUUUUUCUUAGCCAAUUUUAAAACUUAACCAACCUCUUACUAAUACCACUUCUAUUAAGUAAAAGCUUUGCAAGGUAAAAAAUGAAGCAAUUUCCCUUAAAAAGGAAUAGUAAAGUGCUGAGGCUCAGGAUGAAAUUGCUUUUCACAUGAAUUUCUGGAUGGGAGAAACCGAGAGCAUUGGAGGCCACAGUUGGAAUGACCAUUCUCUGCCCUCUGAGUUGCCGUGUGCAGCUCGGCCAAGCAGACCCGGCAGAUGGAGGUGGUUAUGACAACCAUGAUGGGGUAGCCCGUAGGGUUGGCUCUUGCCAGCUUUAAGUGGGUUGUAAGGAACUCCUGCACAAUUACUGACAUAUCUACAUGGAACCUUCCACCUGUCAGACUCCAGGGGAAUCGAGCUCACCCAGAGCUGAUCCCUUUCUGCAAAGGUUUCCAUGCACACUGUGCUGUGCUCCUCUGGAGCUCAGGAAGGGAACAAGAAUCAGAACAGUUCCUCACUUGUCACCUGCUGGUCCCCUUGGGAAGAAUAUAGCCACAGGCAGCCUCUAGUUGUGUUUUGUGUUUCUUAGUUUAACCUAAUGCAACUAUGGGAUCAUUUUCUUUAGGUUGGCGAACUAUUUAAGUAUAUAAACACUCCCCCCUCCCCAUUCUGUUUUCAGACCUUAUUUAAAGACUGAAGUCUGUUCAUUACUCCAUCAGAUAAAUUUUACUGCAGGAUUUUGGGGGUGAAAAAACUGUGAAUCAGAUUAACGAACAGGACUGAACAAGUAGCUAGCUCACGAAGGCUGACUGUUAAUAAAUAGUAAAUAUAUUGGUGGAGGGGAAAUACUUCUUUAAAUAAGAAGUAAAUAAGAUAAUAAGAAGUAGAUUAACAGCAUAGUACAGUGAUGCAGUCACAUCACUGUUUAUAGCAGCUCAAUUCACAAUAGAUAAGCUCUGGAACUAACCUAGGUGCACUUCAACAGAUGAAUGGAUGAAGAAAACGUGGUACAUAUACACAAUGGAAUAUUACUCAGCCAUAAAUAAGAAUGAAAUUAUGGCAUUUGCCAGUAAAUGGAAAGAACUGGAGAAUAUUAUACUGAGAGAAAUAAGCCAACCCCUAAAAACCAAAGGCCAAAUGUUCUCUCUGAUAAUAUGGAUGCUGACUCACAACAAGGGAGGGGCAGGAGAGGAAGAACAGAAGUUCAUUGGAUUAGACAAAGGGGAAUGAAGGGAAGGGAGAGGGAUGGGAAAGGGAAAGACCAUAGAAUGAGUGGGACACAACAUUCCUAUGUUCAUAUAUGAAUACAUGACCAGUGAAACUCCACAGGAUGUACGACCACAAGAAUGGGAAGUUAUAUGGCAUGUAUGUAUGAUGUGUUGAUUAUACUCUACUGUCAUGCAUAUUAAAAAGAACAAAUAAAAUUGGUUGUUUUAUGAAAUAAAAAGUAGAUAAAGUUUUCCCAAGUUACUGUUUUUGUACAGGUGUAUUUUUAGUCCUCCUAGGAACGCCCUGCAUAUGGCUCACUGGCUGUGUGUAACUAGACUGCCAUUCUACCUCUCUGGGCUGAAGUUCCCUCCCUGUGUAAGGGGAACCUGACAGUACAGGUAGUGUUGCUUGUUGCAAAGAUUAAAUCCGGGAAAAUAUGUGAUGAAGUUAAAACAGACCCUGGCUCACAGUAAGAAUCUAGCACAAGCACUGGUUUCUCAGCUUUCCCUGAAGGUAGAAGAUAAGCCCUGAUAUUUGGCCAGUGUCUUGCUCUACACCAGACUUUUCACAAAGUAAAGGACAUGGGGGAACACCUUCCUGCAUUUUCAACACCAUGUAUACGAUAUAGUUAUUUUGAGUAGCUUUGUGUGACAUUUCUGCUACAAACGGUUAAAGGACUCCAGCAACUUAGGCCAAAUUGCAGCUCAAAGAGUUUUCCACUGAGAAGGAAGCAGGAUCAAGAACAUCUGGACACUUGGACGCGUCCAGCCGUCACCCAGCUCCUGGGCCUGUGUGUGCUCCCCUCUCAGCCUGCUGGCCUUGCUCAGGCCUCCUUUGGAUAUGACUUGUCUCCUAACAGUGAAUUUGACAGUGCAGCAUGUGUAUUUUCUCUUUGUUGUCAUGUGCAAUGUUUAUCACAAAGCUACUGAUUGUGGUGACUUUGUUUAAUAAUAUGGAUGUUUCUGAAACAUAAAUCAGCUUCAUAUUGACACACAGAAACGCCUGAAGUGGUUUAGUAUUUACUGUGUUUUAUUGCUUUCAAGUUGCACUCUUAAUUAUUCUGUAGACAGUAACAACAAGGCUUUACCACUCAUGGAUCAAAAUGAGAAGUGAAAAUUCCAGCUAAGAAUGUGUAUAGCAAGCAAGCACAUAAAACCUAAACUCCUACAAAAACAAGAAAUAAAAAACCCCCCUUCAAAUACCCCAAAACAAAACAACCAAUUUACCAAAUAAAAAACAGAGUCAAGGGGGAAAGGAAGGACAGCAGAAUAAAAUAGACAUUUUUAUUGCUGUAUGUAUAUACGUGACUGCAUGACCAAUGUGAUUCUGCAACCUGUACACUCAGAAAAAUGAGAAAUUAUACCCCAUCUGAUUCAAAUGUAUGAUAUGUCAAGAUCAUUGUACGGUCAUGUGUAACUAAUUAAAUAAAACAGAGUCAAGUCUUUAUGUUGAAAUUUUUCAGAAAAGCAUAUCAGUAUAUAUACUGGCCAGUCUUUACAUUGACAUUUUUUGAAAAUAUAUCCAUGUACUCAAAAUGUAAGCUGACUUGCUUAGAUUUGUGAACAGUUUCUUCACCUACUUCUCAACGAAUACUGGAAUUUAAAUCACUCUGAAAUAAAAACAGUCCACAAUUUGUAAGAAUGUAAUCUAAGCUGAAAAAUUGUCCACUUUUGUGAUUUUUUUUUGUUAUCAUUAAAAUUAAAGUUGGUUGGAUUCUAGAGCUGC
Molecule: long non-coding RNA, 18965 nt
Filed under: Marmota monax (woodchuck)
Lineage: Eukaryota; Metazoa; Chordata; Mammalia; Rodentia; Sciuridae
Source: RNAcentral